Molecule: long non-coding RNA, 330 nt
Filed under: Rattus norvegicus (Norway rat)
Lineage: Eukaryota; Metazoa; Chordata; Mammalia; Rodentia; Muridae
Description: long non-coding RNA NONRATT007293
Source: RNAcentral
ACCCUACAGAACAGAUGAUCACCAUGUCUGGGUUCUAGCAAUCACAUACGUUUAUAUCUGAAUUUGAAAAUGGCAGAGGGAAACAACCAAGAGGAGGUCAUUCACUUGAACAACUUUCACUGCCACCGGGGGAAGGAGUGGAUGGCUGUCAGAGAGGGGCCCAUCACCAUAUCUGACUCCUCUGAUGAGGAAGGGAUUCCAAUGCUGGUUACCCCGGCUACUGAGCAACAGGAAGACGACCUGGAUGAUGAUGUCAUCCUGACAGAAGAUGAUUCUGAGGAUGAAUGUGGUGGAUUUCUGGAUCUUAAGACUGAGAAAAAAGGAGGAGAA